This 67-nucleotide transfer RNA is filed under the name Marmota monax (woodchuck). RNAcentral's name for it is "tRNA.Ala". The record is from RNAcentral. Lineage: Eukaryota; Metazoa; Chordata; Mammalia; Rodentia; Sciuridae.
GGUUGUAGCUCAGUGGUAGAGUGCUUGCCUAGCAUGUGCAAGGCGCUGGGUUCAAUCCUCAGCACCA